This 573-nucleotide ribosomal RNA is filed under the name uncultured soil bacterium. Its description in RNAcentral is "bacterial SSU rRNA". It matches the Rfam family "Bacterial small subunit ribosomal RNA", at positions 894 to 1465 of the family's 1533-position model. The record is from RNAcentral.
CAGAAACUCAAAGGAAUUGACGGGGGCCCGCACAAGCGGUGGAGCAUGUGGUUCAAUUCGACGCAACGCGAAGAACCUUACCCAGGCUUGAACAGCGAGUGACCAUCGACGAAAGUCGACUUCCGCAAGGACACUCGUAGAGGUGCUGCAUGGCUGUCGUCAGCUCGUGUCGUGAGAUGUUGGGUUAAGUCCCGCAACGAGCGCAACCCUUGUUUGCUGUUGCCAUCAGGUAAUGCUGGGCACUCUGCAAAGACUGCCGGUGAUAAACCGGAGGAAGGUGGGGAUGACGUCAAGUCAGCAUGGCCUUUAUGUCUGGGGCUACACACGUGCUACAAUGGCCGGUACAAACCGUCGCAAAACCGCAAGGUGGAGCUAAUCGGAGAAAGCCGGUCUCAGUUCGGAUAGCAGGCUGCAACUCGCCUGCUUGAAGUUGGAAUCGCUAGUAAUCGCGGAUCAGCACGCCGCGGUGAAUACGUUCCCGGGCCUUGUACACACCGCCCGUCACAUCACGAAAGCCGGUUGUACUAGAAGUCGCCAUACCAACCCGCAAGGGAGAGGAGGCGCCUAAGGUAU